Molecule: ribosomal RNA, 3416 nt
Filed under: Ambystoma mexicanum (axolotl)
Lineage: Eukaryota; Metazoa; Chordata; Amphibia; Caudata; Ambystomatidae
Description: eukaryotic LSU rRNA
Rfam family: Eukaryotic large subunit ribosomal RNA
Source: RNAcentral
GUUAGGCUGGUAGCAGCCCCUGGCAUGCCGGGAUUGGGUCUUCUCUGAAUUGGGUGCAGACCAAAGCGGGUGGUAGAUUCCAUCUAAGGCUAUGUAUGAGCAUGAGACCAAUAGCAGACAAGUACCAUAAGGAAAUGUUGAAAAGUACUUUAAAGAUGGUAUGAAACCAUUGAGAGGUAAACGGGUGAGUUCCGUUCAGUCUGGCUAGAGGAUUCAACACGGUGGGCAGGUUGGUAACCCGGAACACAGGAUCACCUUGUGGCACCACCACCCAGGCACAUCCAUCACCCACAGGGCUCAUUUCACAUAUGGCCGUACACUGCGACUGGCUCUUGGUCACCUGGGAAUGCCUCAUGGGGCAGGUGGCUCUCCACUCCAUCCAGGAGUGUUGCAGCCCCAUGGCUGCAGUUUCACCAUGGCCAUGUAGCCAAGGGAGAUUGAACUCUGGUGCGCCCACUUCUGGCAACUAUCUUGGCAACUCUUGGGGGUCACCAGGGCAAAGACAGGGGAUGGGCCCUCAGCUCCCGGUGUGACUGUGGACUGGGGUGGGUUGUCCUCAGUGUGCCCCGACCACAUCACACCACCGGGUAGGCAGGCCAACAAAGGGUGCCAAGUGUCUGCUGUGAUGCAGGUUACCCAACCAAUCUUGAAACACAAACCAAGUAGUCUUUAACAUGUGCAAGUUGGAGAGCAAAACAAAAUCCUGUGGCACAAUAAGAGUUAAUGCUGGCACACACCAGCUGAGUUGGGGUCCCGUUGCACCGUGCACACACCACGACACCUCUCGGCCUGUUGGUAAGGUGGAGCAUGAGCGUGUGUGAUACGAUCCAAAAGAUGGUAAACUAUUCAUGAGAAGGGCAAAGCCAGAGGGAUCUCUGGUGGACGUCUGUAGCGGUCCUGAUAUGCAAAUCGGUCAUCAGACCGGUGUAUAGAAGUGGAAGGCCAAUCAAACCAUAUAGUGGCUGGCUCCCGCGGAAGAUUCCCUCAGGAUAGCUGGUGCUCUGAUCUCCCAUUUUUAUCUGGUGAAGCAAAUGAUUAAAGGUUUUAGUGCCAAGCGAUCACAACCUAUUCUCAAACUUUAUAUGGGUUAGGAGCCUGUCUCGCUGGCAUGAAACAGGCAUCGAAUGCCAGUUCUCAGUGGGCCAGUUUUGGUAUUCAGAACUGAUGCUCCAGGAUGAACCAAACACCAGGUUAAGGCCCACACUGCCAAAGCACAUCAAAAAGGUGGUGGUUGAUAUAGACAGCAGAACUGUGGCCAUGGAAGUCAGAAUCUGCUAGGGAGUGUGUAACAACUCACCUGCUGAAUCAACUAGCCCUUGCAAUAGAUGGUGCUGAAGCAUCUAGCUCAAAUCUAGCCACUGCUGGCACUGAGAGCUACAGGGGCUCUGCUGCAAUGAUUAGGAGUGCUGCUGCAGUGGGUACAGUAGCCCGGGUUGAGUGUCCGGGUAGAGUCACCACAGGUGCAGAUCUUGGUGGUAAUAGCGAAUAUUCAAACAAUAACUUUGAAGGCUGUAAUGGAGGAGGAUAACAUGUGAACAGCUGUUGAACAUGGGUCAGUUGUUCCUAAGAGAUGGGUGAGUACCAUUCGGAAGGGGCAGGCAAUGGCCGCUGUUGUCUUCAGCCGAUUGAAAGCGAGUUGGGUUCAAAUCCCCUAACCCAGAGUGGGGGAGACAUGAGCCCUUGCAGCAUCCAUUGCAGUAAAGCAAAACCUCUUGGGAAAUCUGGAGUAUGCCUAUUUUCUUUGUGAAGGCUAGGCCACCGUGGAAUGGGUUUGCCACAAGAGGGGUGCCCAAGCUUUGGCAAGUAUUGCGGUUUGGGUGACAUAUGGUGAGCUCUCGCUGGCACUUGGUAAUCCAGGCGAGAUGGUGAAAAUCUCAUGCUGGCCCAUACCCAUAUUUGCAGCAGGGCUCCAAGGUGAACAACCUCUGGCAUGUUGGUACAAAGUAGGAAAGGGAAAUCGGAAAGAUAGAUCUUUAAUUUUAAAUGAGAACUGGCUCUAAGACUGGGUGGGUCAGGCUGGUGCACAUCAGAGGAUUCACAACGGCUGGCUGAGACAUCUCCACCCCCAGGGGCCUGCCUACACUGGACGCAAGCUGGACCCUUCCUGUGGAUCACCCCAGCUGGAGUGGUGGCCUCUCUCCAUUCCCCUGCCAUCGUUUGGGCCGGAGUUCUUGCUAGCAGCUGACUUCACAAUGGUGUGGACCAGGGAAAUACAACAAUUUAAUGGAAAUAAAGCAUCACAAAGGCUGACAGCAGGUGUUCAAUGUUAAAGGGAAGAAAUUCAAUGCAGCGUUGGUAAAUGGCAGGAGUAACUAUGACUAUCUUUAGGUGGCAAAAUUCCACAUCAUCGCAUUGGUGGCAUGAAUGCAUGGAUGAACAGGAUUCCCACUGUCCCUACCUACUAUCCAAUAAGCCACAACCAAGGGAACAGACUUGGCAGAAUCAGCUGGGAUAGGAGACCCUGUUGACUUUGACUCUAGUGUGGCACUGUGAAGAGAGGCAUAGGAUAAGUGAUAGGCUCUGGGGCCAGAGGUGAAAUUCGAGUACUGUUGUCAUUAUUUCACUUACCCAGUUAGGCAAGCCCUAUGGAGCUGUCACUUCUAUCUACAAGCAUCCUGCUCCAACCAGGCAUGACCCGAUCCAGGGACAUUGUCAGGUGACGAGCUUGACUUGGGCAGUACAUCUGUGCUGCUCUAAUGCAGGUGUCCAAAUGCAAGCUCAGGGAGGACAGGAACAUCCCGCAGAGCUGAAAGUCAAAAUCUUGCUGGAUCUCCAUUUUCUAUAUGAAGACAGACCAUCUAUGCAGGGCCUCACAAUCCAUAUGACAUGUUGUGUUUUCAGAAAGAGGAGUCAGAAAAUGACCACAGGGAUAACUCUCAUGUGGCAGCCAAGCAUUCAUUUUAACAUCACAUUUUGAUCCUUCCAUGUCAGCUCUUCCUAUCAUUUGUGAAUUAGUAUUCAUCAAACAGUUGAUUGUUCACCCACUAAUAGGGAAUGUGAUCUGGGUGUGGACCAUCGUGUGACAGGUUAGUUUCACCCUAGUGAGAUUGUGUUAUUGCAAUAGCAAUCCAUGCUCAGACAUUUGGUGUAUGUGCUUGACUGAGCAGCCAAUGGAGUGAAGCUGCCAUCUGUGGGAUUAUGAAUGAAUGCCUCUAAGUCAGAAUCCCCCUAAACUGUAAUGGUAAUGCAGAACUGUGGAUUCUUGGUUCACCUAGGAUAGCCAGCCUCUGGGCUGGUGCAUAGAGCUGCUUGCCUCAGAACUCGAGUGUGAACAGAAGGGGGCCACCUCUCUUACACGUAGUGCACCACGUGUUCUCAUUCUGGGUAAGGGUUUCGUGAAUAACAGAGCCAAAGUUUUUUCAAAGUGCUGCUGCAGUGACAGUGCUGCAGAGGUCUCCAUUGUUCCUACUCCUGCU